UAGGGAAUCUUCCGCAAUGGGCGAAAGCCUGACGGAGCAACGCCGCGUGAGUGAUGAAGGUCUUCGGAUCGUAAAACUCUGUUAUUAGGGAAGAACAAAUGUGUAAGUAACUAUGCACGUCUUGACGGUACCUAAUCAGAAAGCCACGGCUAACUACGUGCCAGCAGCCGCGGUAAUACGUAGGUGGCAAGCGUUAUCCGGAAUUAUUGGGCGUAAAGCGCGCGUAGGCGGUUUUUUAAGUCUGAUGUGAAAGCCCACGGCUCAACCGCGGAGGGUCAUUGGAAACUGGAAAACUUGAGUGCAGAAGAGGAAAGUGGAAUUCCAUGUGUAGCGGUGAAAUGCGCAGAGAUAUGGAGGAACACCAGUGGCGAAGGCGACUUUCUGGUCUGUAACUGACGCUGAUGUGCGAAAGCGUGGGGAUCAAACAGG
Molecule: ribosomal RNA, 429 nt
Filed under: Pseudomonas sp.
Lineage: Bacteria; Pseudomonadati; Pseudomonadota; Gammaproteobacteria; Pseudomonadales; Pseudomonadaceae
Also listed under: 1 other name
Description: partial 16S ribosomal RNA
Rfam family: Bacterial small subunit ribosomal RNA
Source: RNAcentral